CUCCUUGANGGAGNAACCCCGGGUANCUGGGGCUAAUCCCCGAUAGACGAAAACACUUGGAAUGGGUUUUCGUCCAAAAGGCGUUGUGGUCAUGCUUCGCAAUGUCGCUCAAGGAUGGGGCCGCGCCCGAUCAGGUAGUUGGUGAGGUAGCGGCUCACCAAGCCUAUAACCGGUACGGGCCGUGGGAGCGGGAGCCCGGAGAUGGGCACUGAGACAAGGGCCCAGGCCCUACGGGGCGCAGCAGUUGCGAAAACUCCGCAAUGCACGAAAGUGUGACGGGGCUACCCCGAGUGCCGUCCGCUGAGGAUGGCUUUUCUCUGCUGUAAGGAGGCGGAGGAAUAGGGAGAGGGCAAGUCUGGUGUCAGCCGCCGCGGUAAUACCAGCUCUCCGAGUGGUAGGGACAAUUAUUGGGCCUAAAGCGUCCGUAGCCGGCUCGUCAAGUCUUUCGUUAAAAUNCAGCGAUUCAAUCGUUGAACUGCGGGAGAUACUACCGAGCUAGGGGGCGGGAAAANCCNACGGUAUUUCCGGGGUAGGGGUAAAAUCCUAUNAUCCCGGGAAAACCCCANUGGCGUANGCGGUCGCNUANCACNCNCUCCANGGUNAG
This 604-nucleotide ribosomal RNA is filed under the name uncultured crenarchaeote. RNAcentral describes it as "partial 16S ribosomal RNA". It matches the Rfam family "Archaeal small subunit ribosomal RNA", at positions 111 to 701 of the family's 1478-position model. Lineage: Archaea; Thermoproteati; Thermoproteota. The record is from RNAcentral.